This is a long non-coding RNA of Alnus glutinosa, 299 nucleotides long. RefSeq lists it as uncharacterized. The transcript has 3 exons. NCBI's taxonomy places the organism in Eukaryota, Viridiplantae, Streptophyta, Magnoliopsida, Fagales, Betulaceae. The record is from RefSeq and is a predicted model, not a curated record.
CUCAAAAGGACAAUUACUGGUGCUACACAGCAACCCACUGCCACUGCCCCACCUAUUGCAACAGCUGAGAGAAAUUUGGAAAAUCAUGUUGGACUUAGAGUGCCCAGCUGGAACAGGCACCCGCUAGCACCUAGACCACCUCCACCUACUACAACGGUUGAGAGAGAUUUGCAAAAUCCUGUUGGACUUAGAGUGCCCAGCUGGAACAGGAAACCGCCACCACCCAAACCAUGCAUACCAGUUAGAAGAGUGUCUAAUCGAAUUAGGGCCAUGGUGCGGAGUGUUCCAAUUCAAAAGGG